AACGAACGCUGGCGGCAUGCCUAACACAUGCAAGUCGAACGAAGGCUUCGGCCUUAGUGGCGCACGGGUGCGUAACGCGUGGGAAUCUGCCCUUUGGUUCGGAAUAACAGCUGGAAACGGCUGCUAAUACCGGAUGAUGACGAAGGUCCAAAGAUUUAUCGCCAGAGGAUGAGCCCGCGUUGGAUUAGGUAGUUGGUGGGGUAAAGGCCUACCAAGCCGACGAUCCAUAGCUGGUCUGAGAGGAUGAUCAGCCACACUGGGACUGAGACACGGCCCAGACUCCUACGGGAGGCAGCAGUGGGGAAUAUUGGACAAUGGGCGCAAGCCUGAUCCAGCAAUGCCGCGUGAGUGAUGAAGGCCCUAGGGUUGUAAAGCUCUUUUACCCGGGAAGAUAAUGACUGUACCGGGAGAAUAAGCCCCGGCUAACUCCGUG
Molecule: ribosomal RNA, 433 nt
Filed under: uncultured bacterium
Lineage: Bacteria
Description: partial 16S ribosomal RNA
Rfam family: Bacterial small subunit ribosomal RNA
Source: RNAcentral